GGAGCUUUUGUUGUCCAGUACAGCUCAGAUAGAGGAUAGAACGACAUUGUACAAAGCAUCUUCCAAUGACAACAGUUCCCGCACGAUCUUCUAUGCACGAAGCUCUGCAUUAGGCUAUAAUUGGACAAAGUAUUGACAUGCGAAUCACAGAGCAGUGAGUUGGCUAAUGGCUUCCUGUCUGUGUUUCCUCUCUGCAUGGAGGGAAUCGUGCAAAACCACACCGGCCCAUGGCUGUCUUCACUAUGUUAUUGCAUGGCACGCAAUGCAAUCUAAUCUGCUGCUGCAGGCCUACUAACCUGCCUGCUAAAUAAUAAACACCACUGGACAGCAGCCUGCAAGGCCACGUAUAAUCCAGUCUUUUAACAGCUUUGUCAUUGAUGCUACUGCACCACAUGGUCUCAAAUGCCUCCAUUUUCCUGGAAGAGUAAGACGGAUUGCUGUGAGAGACAGAGACAGAGACAGGCGAAGACAAAGGGAGAAAGAAGGACGGAGAGUCAAAAUAAAUCAAAUCAGUCACUUGACUGACAGCUUGUAGCAACACUCACUGUAAGAUGACAGCUUGAAGAGGAGAUGACAGGUGUGCAAUCAUGACUGCAAAGCCAAAGGUGCCCUGACACACAAAACAAGACAUAAAGGCUAUGAGACAAACAAGAAG
Molecule: long non-coding RNA, 655 nt
Organism: Cyprinus carpio carpio
Lineage: Eukaryota; Metazoa; Chordata; Actinopteri; Cypriniformes; Cyprinidae
Source: Ensembl